This 185-nucleotide non-coding RNA is filed under the name Alitibacter langaaensis DSM 22999. Its description in RNAcentral is "Pasteurella langaaensis DSM 22999 6S / SsrS RNA". It matches the Rfam family "6S / SsrS RNA". From Rfam's summary of the family: E. coli 6S RNA was the first non coding RNA to be sequenced, but its function was unknown until recently. It consists of 184 nucleotides that fold into an extended hairpin structure with a large single-stranded internal bulge. The record is from RNAcentral. Lineage: Bacteria; Pseudomonadati; Pseudomonadota; Gammaproteobacteria; Pasteurellales; Pasteurellaceae.
GAUUUCCUGAGAUGUUCGCCAGUGGGUUACGUCCCUGAGCCGAUAUUUACAUAUUUAGAGUUAGUUCUCUAUAUUGUUGGUGUGCAAGCUUGGUUUUACUAAGAAGCCUAAAAACGAUUAAAACUGACUCCCUUGAACCGUCGGGUUCAAGGACCGACCACCUACAACGGCAUCUCGGGUUCCUU